UCUGUCUCCUUUGCCACUGUCAAUAAGAUUCCAACAGAGAUUAUUAAGAUGAUACCCAAAAGUCUAAAGCUUGGAGACUCCAACCUGAAUGCAAAAGCAAAUAGAAGGAGAAAUAUAGGAGAUGCAGAUUUACACAUUGUGGCAAAUGUGACAGAGAUGAAAACAAGGGAUGCAUUGCUCAGGUUAACGUCCAAUGCAGUUCCAAGAGCUGUUGGUACAACUGUGAAAGGGAAAGCCCAUCUCUCAUAAAAUAAUCCCUCCAUGUCAUAGCAACACUGAGUUGAAAUCUAUGAGACCAAAAACAUGUGAUAAACUUUGACAAAACAGCUUGCAUUGCAAAAUGGA
This 345-nucleotide unclassified non-coding RNA is filed under the name Hevea brasiliensis (rubber tree). Lineage: Eukaryota; Viridiplantae; Streptophyta; Magnoliopsida; Malpighiales; Euphorbiaceae. The record is from RNAcentral.